GCUAUGGCGUCACCCAGCUACCCAGUCUCUGUUCUCCCCGCUCAGCAAUCAUGCACCUUUUCAUUGUCUCCAGCUUCCCUCCAUUCCCCACCUUUACGCUGUCCAUGACCAAGCCGUCAGGUUGCCAGGCAGCACCUCCCUCCUGAGUUUUAUCUCCGAUGCGACUGUGUUUCCCAACCCCUCACCUCUGAGGGACUGCGGUUUGACCCGCUCAGACCUUUCGCAGAGGGUCUCACUGAGCAAUGGCUGGUGCUGGCUGCACCCAGGAACGUUCAGGAAACCUCACUGCUGCUGAUGCCCAGAGACUGCGGCUGGGUGCCAGCCCCACCCAGAAGAAGUUCAAGCAGUGGUGUAGCAGCAACGUUUCAGGGAUUAUGGUGUCCCAAAGUGUACUCCCUGGACCAGCAGCAUCAGCAUCACCGGGGAAUCUGAGAAACGCAAAUUCUCGGUGCCACCUGAGACCUACUGAAUCAGAAACCCUGGGGGUGUCUCCCCGAACUCCAUGUUAACAAGGCUUCCAGAUGAUUCAGACACAUGCUCCAGGUUGGAAACCACUGUUUCAAUAGACUAUUUUCUUUCUGUAGACUUAUCUCCUUUCCCAAACCACAGCGGAUGAGUUGGAGCACCAAUGCUAAGAAAGAACCAGCCUAUUUCCAUUUUGUUCACUGAUGCAAAAUCAUCUCCUCUGAAGGACACGCCUAGGAACCUACUUCCUGACUCUGAUGAUCUGCUAAUAUUCAAUGCUUUUCACCUGGCUUCUUGCUUGCCUCUCUGGGACCACAUGUGUUGGAUUCUCCGGGCCUGGAGCCAGAGGUCUGGGUGAAUAUCUGUGCAUUUCUGAGUUGACUGAAAGGCUGCAGCAGCCGUAGGCGAAGAAAACCAGGCUGCUUGAGCUCCAUGUUGUUUUUGUCUAGAAUCCAAGUUCCCUCACACUCCACAUGGCUCUUUUCAGUAGAGGAGCCUCUAGCUUUCCGAACUUGGCGUCCCCGUGGAGAGAGCACUAUGUCACUUCACGAUUCUGCCCACUUGCUGUCCUGGAUCUCAGACCUUGCUUUUCAGCAGACUUUGGGUGGGUGUUUGACUUUCUUUUUGGCGAGACAGAGGAAAUGAGCAAGUAUGUGAAAACCUUCGAAUGGCCACUCCCUAAAAGCAGCGAGAAACUCCAGAGAGUCCCACAGACUCUUGUAAAAUGCAGCCUAGAGCUCAGGGAAUGUCUGGAUUUUCUCCCCAGGGAGCUUUUUCACACUUUGGAACAUCCUUGGAGGAAACCACAGGCAUCUGGAAGGCCCUUCUGCAACAGGAGACAUGAGGAGAAACUACCUUCUGACCUACCUCAAUGUUGGAGGCAUCUGUUCCGUUUGCACUUCUCCGCUUCCUGCCCCGUUUGGGGUAGCCAUUGAUCUUACACUCAUAACAAGCCUCCGGGGAGAGAGAAUUGUCAUCCAUUUCACCGCUGGCAGGUGGCUCUGGGCCUCCUCGGCCCAUGCCGAUUCCAGAAACACAGUGCCUGUGGAAGAAGGGAAGCACAGCCCUUUUUCAUUAGAACUGGGAGAUGAGGGAGGUGGUGUAAGAGUUCUGGUGAAGUGUGGACCCCACCUGGUGACACUGAGACAUUGGUUAUUCGUCCAUUAGGUGACUGGCUGGUUCUGAGAGCCACACUGAAGUCCUCUGUGUUUAGGCUCUGAGUCCCAGUUCCUGGAGUGGAUUCCUUUCUACUAUCUCUCAAGGUCCUGUUUUGCAUUUUAUUUGCCCCUACAUUUCUGCCCCCCCCCCCCCCCCCCACUGUACCAGGUGUUUUGCUGUCCUUAUGCUGCUGGGGAGGGGACAUGGAGUAGAAAGAGGAAGAGUGGGGGAUGAGGGAGAUCAUGUGACUUGGGAGGGUAAAGAAAAAUGUCUUCUAUUUAUGAAACAGAAAGUGAGAAAGGUAUGAGAUGUCUGUGUUCAGUUCCUUGUCCUCUUCCUGUUUCAAUGACCCCGUCACCACCACCACCACCACCACCACACUCACCAGCCCUCAUCACUUCAGCUUCUGAGCACUUUCUAUUGUUUGACCACUCAUUUUGGCUGAAGCUACUGAAGGUAUAAAGAAAGUUCUAGGUAGAACUGAAGUUGACUUAGAAAUAAACUGUAAAGAUGUGCAAUGUAUAAAAUGCAUGUAUCAGAGCUUGCCCAACUAUGGGAAAUUGUUUCAAGUCAUUCAAAACCACUAGGGCCAUUGGCUCUGACUCAUGUGAGGCUGGAUAAACAAACCCAUGCCCAAGAGAGAACUAGUUCAGCUGUUUUUCUUUGCCUUUCAGUUAUCAAAGCCAAGUUACGAAGGGAGGCUUGCAUGUUUCACAAGUACCUUGUUUUGUUAUUCUGCUUACUAUUUCAUAGGCCUCUUGGAAUGUAUUUACCAGGCUCCUUUUUCAAAAUGUGUUGAAAUAUCUGAAUGAUCCUAGGAGUCUUUAUUUUGGGGCAGGGUCCACUCUAGUGAUUCAUGGAGAAGCACAAACUAUUAGAAGUGGGUAGAUUUCCACUAAUGGGUCAUAAUGAAGACCAAAUAUUUAUCACUUUUUCUGUAUUAAUUGGCCUAUUUUUAUAACCCAUUUUUCUUGAUGCUCUUGAGAUUCAAAAUAUAAUGCCGAUAAGCAGACUACUUUUUGUGUUUUGCAGCAAUGUAUGGGUUCAUACUAGUUUUUGCAAUCCUGCCAGAGCCCAGUACUUUUCCUUUUUUCUUCCUUUAUCUUGCUGCAUGAAAUGUGCAGAAACAAAAUGGAUGAAAUGAUGACUGCUCAUCGUGUGUGUGUGUGUGUGUGUGUGUGUGUGUGUGUGUCUAUUCACAUAAUGAUUAAGUUAUUAGAAGAAAAAUCCCAAAUUUGCAGGCUUUGGUUCUUUUCUCAGAACUCCUUUCCAGUAUUUUCAUAUCCCUGGAACACCACUUACAAGAAGUGUGACUACAAAGUCCCACUGGCCAGAAGCCAGUUUGGAGUGUCACAAUUUUUGCUGGGAAAAUGGUUCUGGCAUUCAACUUAUAAAGAAUGAGACUACUGAGAGCCAGACACAAACAUCUGGGAAUUUGUGUCCUAUUGCUGGCAUUCUGUGUGCUUCCCAUGAAACAUUCUUUCACCUUCAAGUCUACACAGACCCAAAAUGAAUCGCUUGAUGUUUGUGUGUCAAGAAAUCAAAGGCCAGUACAUUACACUAAUUUGAUAUAUAUAUAUAUGUGUGUAUUAUGGAAUAUGUGAUUUUGUGGGAUGUGUAUGUGUGGCUGUACAUGUGUGUAUGUAUAUUUCACGUCUAUGUGUUCCUAAUGAAAAUGUUAAAAUUUGAGUUCCUUAACAGCAUAGACAACACUACAUGGACAUCCAAUUCUAGAUUAAUUCAGCAGGAAAAAAGGCCUACACUGUGAAAACUUACCACUAAACUUUUAAAUUACUGGGUAAAAAAAAACAAGUCUUUUCUUCCCCAACAGUCACACAUACAAUGUGGUAAAGUAUUCUACCAGGAGGAUACAAUAAUUAUUUUAGCUCUCGUAUUUUAUGCUCUUUUGGUAAUUCUUUAUGUAAACUUAAGUCUGAGAUGUAAAAUGUAUUUUAAAGCCAGGUAUCUUUGUGAUUUCUCCUAACGGUAGCUAGAGGAGAAGGCAUUUUAAGUCAAGAGAGAAUCCUGCUUGCCUCAGGAGAAGGGGAGAUCAGCAAUAUGCAGUGUGAGUCCAGUUCUGUCAUGGGUCAGCCCCUGCAUUUCCAGAGAAAUGAAUCACUUCCCAACAAGAUGCGAAGAUCAAGAGAAUGAGAAAGAGACACCAUAUAUCAAGGGAAAACCAGAAGACACUGUGUGUGUGACACCGGCCAGACGUCUCUACUGGGGACUGCUGGCCAACUGGCUCUCAGCCAGCACUCAGGAAGAACUCCCAGCCAGAGAUGAUCUUCAUGGGGCCAAAGGAGAGCCUCCAGGCAAUGAAGACAUGACCUGUCCAUCUCCACUAUUCCUGGACUAAAGAGGGUGAUAAUGAAGAUUUUGACAGUCACACAGAUUAUCUCCACCAGGAAUUACCAGCUGCAUCAAGCUGAGGCCCCUACCCACCUUCACAGCUGGCGCCACUCUGAUCAAGAGAGAAUCCUCGCUGGCAUUCACAGAGAUUCUCCUUUGGUAAAACAAAAUUGAGCAAUCAAGAAGCAAGAAGGAAGCAAAGGAUGUAACCAAAGGGACACUCGCAGCGAUAGGAGCCAUCGGUAUUGAUGCACUGCCCAUGUUUACAGACAUCUGGUUCUUUGCACUCAUCCAUAUCUUAAGUAAAGGAUUAAAAAAAAGUGAAUAACAAG
Molecule: long non-coding RNA, 4304 nt
Organism: Prionailurus viverrinus (fishing cat)
Lineage: Eukaryota; Metazoa; Chordata; Mammalia; Carnivora; Felidae
Exons: 7
Source: RefSeq, a predicted model, not a curated record